GAGAGUGCAGGCGGUUUUCUAAGUCUGAUGUGAAAGCCUUCGGCUUAACCGGAGAAGUGCAUCGGAAACUGGAUAACUUGAGUGCAGAAGAGGGUAGUGGAACUCCAUGUGUAGCGGUGGAAGUGCGUAGAUAUAUGGAAGAACACCAGUGGCGAAGGCGGCUACCUGGUCUGCAACUGACGCUGAGACUCGAAAGCAUGGGUAGCGAACAGGAUUAGAUACCCUGGUAG
This 230-nucleotide ribosomal RNA is filed under the name uncultured bacterium. RNAcentral's name for it is "partial 16S ribosomal RNA". It matches the Rfam family "Bacterial small subunit ribosomal RNA", at positions 565 to 793 of the family's 1533-position model. The record is from RNAcentral.